RNAcentral lists this ribosomal RNA (253 nucleotides) under uncultured bacterium. RNAcentral's name for it is "partial 16S ribosomal RNA". It matches the Rfam family "Bacterial small subunit ribosomal RNA", at positions 524 to 776 of the family's 1533-position model. The record is from RNAcentral.
UACGUAGGUGGCAAGCGUUGUCCGGAUUUACUGGGCGUAAAGCGCGCGUAGGUGGUCUGCUAAGUUCAGGGUGAAAUCUCCCGGCUUAACCGGGAGGGGUCUUUGAAUACUGGUGGACUUGAGGGCAGCAGAGGUAGGUGGAAUUCCCGGUGUAGUGGUGAAAUGCGUAGAUAUCGGGAGGAACACCAGUGGCGAAGGCGGCCUACUGGGCUGUACCUGACACUGAGGCGCGAAAGCGUGGGGAGCGAACCGG